GGASSGUGCAAGCGUUAUCCGGAUUCACUGGGUUUAAAGGGUGCGUAGGUGGGCAGGUAAGUCAGUGGUGAAAUCUUUGGGCUUAACCCGAAAACUGCCAUUGAUACUAUUUGUCUUGAAUAUUGUGGAGGUCAGCGGAAUAUGUCAUGUAGCGGUGAAAUGCUUAGAUAUGACAUAGAACACCAAUUGCGAAGGCAGCUGGCUACACAUAUAUUGACACUGAUGCACGAAAGCGUGGGGAUCAAACAGGAUUAGAUACCCUGGUAGUCCACGCCCUAAACGAUGGAUACUCGACAUACGCGAUAUACUGUGUGUGUCUGAGCGAAAGCAUUAAGUAUCCCACCUGGGAAGUACGAUCGCAAGAUUG
RNAcentral lists this ribosomal RNA (367 nucleotides) under uncultured bacterium. RNAcentral describes it as "bacterial SSU rRNA". It matches the Rfam family "Bacterial small subunit ribosomal RNA", at positions 527 to 896 of the family's 1533-position model. The record is from RNAcentral.